CCUACGGGAGGCAGCAGUGGGGAAUAUUGGGCAAUGGGCGAAAGCCUGACCCAGCAACGCCGCGUGAAGGAAGAAGGCUUUCGGGUUGUAAACUUCUUUUGACAGGGAAGAGCAGAAGACGGUACCUGUCGAAUAAGCCACGGCUAACUACGUGCCAGCAGCCGCGGUAAUACGGAGGUGGCAAGCGUUGUCCGGAUUUACUGGGGGUAAAGGGCGUGUAGCCGGGCUGACAAGUCAGAUGUGAAAUCCGGGGGCUCAACCCCCGAACUGCAUUUGAAACUGUUGGUCUUGAGUAUCGGAGAGGCAGGCGGAAUUCCUAGUGUAGCGGUGAAAUGCGUAGAUAUUAGGAGGAACACCAGUGGCGAAGGCGGCCUGCUGGACGACAACUGACGGUGAGGCGCGAAAGCGUGGGGAGCAAACAGGAUUAGAUACCCGAGUAGUC
RNAcentral lists this ribosomal RNA (442 nucleotides) under uncultured bacterium. RNAcentral's name for it is "partial 16S ribosomal RNA". It matches the Rfam family "Bacterial small subunit ribosomal RNA", at positions 338 to 795 of the family's 1533-position model. The record is from RNAcentral.